This 260-nucleotide ribosomal RNA is filed under the name uncultured bacterium. RNAcentral's name for it is "partial 16S ribosomal RNA". It matches the Rfam family "Bacterial small subunit ribosomal RNA", at positions 524 to 783 of the family's 1533-position model. The record is from RNAcentral.
UACGAAGGUGGCAAGCGUUACUCGGAAUUACUAGGCGUAAAGGGCAGGUAGGCGGUUUGAUGAGUCUGUUGUGAAAGCUCCCGGCUUAACUGGGAGAGGUCAACAGAUACUGUCGAACUUGAGUAUGGGAGAGGGUACUGGAAUUCCUGGUGUAGCGGUGAAAUGCGCAGAGAUCAGGAGGAACACCGAUGGCGAAAGCAGGUACCUGGACCAUUACUGACGCUCAGCUGCGAAAGCUAGGGGAGCAAACAGGAUUAGAC